This 253-nucleotide ribosomal RNA is filed under the name uncultured bacterium. RNAcentral's name for it is "partial 16S ribosomal RNA". It matches the Rfam family "Bacterial small subunit ribosomal RNA", at positions 524 to 776 of the family's 1533-position model. The record is from RNAcentral.
GACGAACCGUGCGAACGUUGUUCGGAUUCACUGGGCUUAAAGGGCGCGUAGGCGGGCCGCCAAGUCAGGGGUGAAAUCCCGCAGCUCAACUGCGGAAGUGCCUUUGAUACUGGCGGCCUCGAGGGAGGUAGGGGCAUGCGGAACUUCCGGUGGAGCGGUGAAAUGCGUAGAUAUCGGAAGGAACGCCGGUGGCGAAAGCGGCGUGCUGGACCUCUUCUGACGCUGAGGCGCGAAAGCCAGGGGAGCAAACGGG